CCUACGGGAGGCAGCAGUAGGGAAUCUUUCACAAUGGGCGAAAGCCUGAUGGAGCAACGCCGCGUGCAGGAUGACGGCCUUCGGGUUGUAAACUGCUUUUAUAAGCGAGAAAUAUGAUGGUAACUUAUGAAUAAGGAUCGGCUAACUACGUGCCAGCAGCCGCGGUCAUACGUAGGAUCCGAGCAUUAUCCGGAGUGACUGGGUGUAAAGAGUUGCGUAGGUGGCAUAAUAAGUAGCUAGUGAAAUCUGGUGGCUCAACCAUUCAGACUAUUAGCUAAACUGUUAAGCUCGAGACCGUUAGGGGUAACUGGAAUUUCUAGUGUAGGAGUGAAAUCCGUAGAUAUUAGAAGGAACACCAAUAGCGUAGGCAGGUUGCUGGGACGGUUCUGACACUAAGGCACGAAAGCGUAGGGAGCAAACGGGAUUAGAUACCCCAGUAGUC
Molecule: ribosomal RNA, 442 nt
Filed under: uncultured bacterium
Lineage: Bacteria
Description: partial 16S ribosomal RNA
Rfam family: Bacterial small subunit ribosomal RNA
Source: RNAcentral